UUGAACAACUCUCCCACGCUG
Molecule: unclassified non-coding RNA, 21 nt
Filed under: Chlamydomonas reinhardtii
Lineage: Eukaryota; Viridiplantae; Chlorophyta; Chlorophyceae; Chlamydomonadales; Chlamydomonadaceae
Description: small RNA Cre_3865
Source: RNAcentral